GAUGAACGCUGGCGGUGUGCCUAAUACAUGCAAGUCGAACGGGGUGCAGCAAUGUACCUAGUGGCGACCGGGUGCGUAACACGUAGCUGACCUGCCCCUCAGCGGGGGACAACAGUUCGAAAGGACUGCUAAUACCGCAUGAGCUUGAGAUGUUUAGAAAGUCUCAAGGAAACUUACGGGGCUGAGGGAGGGAGCUGCGGCCCAUCAGGUAGUUGGUGAGGUAACGGCUCACCAAGCCAACGACGGGUCGGGGACCUGAGAGGGUGGUCCCCCAUACUGGAACUGACAAACGGUCCAGACUCCUACGGGAGGCAGCAGUAAGGGAUAUUGCGCAAUGGGCGAAAGCCUGACGCAGCAACACCGCGU
Molecule: ribosomal RNA, 366 nt
Filed under: uncultured bacterium
Lineage: Bacteria
Description: bacterial SSU rRNA
Rfam family: Bacterial small subunit ribosomal RNA
Source: RNAcentral